RNAcentral lists this ribosomal RNA (440 nucleotides) under uncultured bacterium. RNAcentral's name for it is "partial 16S ribosomal RNA". It matches the Rfam family "Bacterial small subunit ribosomal RNA", at positions 338 to 795 of the family's 1533-position model. The record is from RNAcentral.
CCUACGGGUGGCAGCAGUGGGGAAUAUUGCACAAUGGGGGAAACCCUGAUGCAGCGACGCCGCGUGAGUGAAGAAGUAAUUCGUUAUGUAAAGCUCUAUCAGCAGGGAAGAAAAUGACGGUAUCUGAGUAAGAAGCCCUGGCUAACUACGUGCCAGCCGCAGCGGGAAUACGUAGGGGGCAAGCGUUAGCCGGAUUUAAUGGGUGCAAAGGGAGCGUAGACGGCAGUGGAAGGAUGGAGUGAAAGGCGGGGGCUCAACCACCGGACUGCUCUGGAAACUGUACGGCUGGAGUGCAGGAGAGGUAAGUGGAAUUCCUAGUGUAGCGGUGAAAUGCAUAGAUAUCACACAGAACACCGCUGGCGAAGGCAUCUCACUAAUCCGCGAUUGACGCUGAUGCACGAAAGCGUGGGUAUCAAACAGGAUUAGAUACCCGGGUAGUC